CAAGAUAAAAGAAGUACAGUUUGGGAUUCUAUACAUUAAAAUGUUUGUUUUGGCUUCCAGAAAGAGAAAUCUCAAGUAAAUAUUGCUGAAAAACCAAGGCUAUUCAUGGGCUAACAGACUGAUAAGGUCUAGGGAGGGCAUAGGUGGGGCGUGCUUCAGUCAGGGCUCCAGCUCUGUCCUAUGCAGUGUUCUUUGACCUGAUCUCUUUUCAAGCUUCAUCCUCAGGCUUCCAGGAAACUGGCUGCCCCAACUCCAGGCCUCGUAUACACGGACAACAAUGCCAAGAAGAAGAGGCCCAGGACUUCUGGAGAUUACAAUGGUACCAAUACAGCAUUUGACAAAGGAAUGACUUGUGGAUGCAUAAUGCAAUUGGAAGUCUAACUGCAAAGCUCUUAGAAGGAUCUUGAUCAGAAGCAUCAGCCACCUUGUAUUUUGGUGGGAUCAUGUGACUGAGGACUCAUUCUCACCAAUGACAAGCAAAUUCUGGCCCCCAGGCUCCGUUUAUCUCCCUCUGUGCUGGGAUGAGGGUCCAGAUUGCCAUAAGGAGCCAAG
RNAcentral lists this long non-coding RNA (552 nucleotides) under Equus caballus (horse). RNAcentral's name for it is "lncRNA (ENSECAG00000056969.1)". Lineage: Eukaryota; Metazoa; Chordata; Mammalia; Perissodactyla; Equidae. The record is from RNAcentral.